UAUCUCUGUAGAGUCUGCAUAUCAAUAAGCGGAGGAAAAGAAACUAACUAGGAUUCCCUUAGUAACGGCGAGUGAAGCGGGAAGAGCUCAAAUUUGAAAUCUUCAAGGUUUUACCUUGACGAAUUGUAGUUUAAAGAAGUGUUUUCUGUUGGUGUUUUGGUGAAAGUUCUUUGGAAUAGGACAUCAUAGAGGGUGAGAAUCCCGUAUUUGACCAUUACUUCCAGCGUUGUGAUACACUUUCAAAGAGUCGGAUUGUUUGGGAUGCAGUCCAAAAUGGGUGGUAAAUUUCAUCUAAAGCUAAAUAUUGGCGAGAGACCGAUAGCGAACAAGUACCGUGAGGGAAAGAUGAGAAGAACUUUGAAAAGAGAGUUAAACAGUACGUGAAAUUGUCAAAAGGGAAGCGUUUGACACCAGUGUUGUUUUCUCGAAAAUCAAUUAAAAAAGGCAGGAUUUUGUGUUGUAUUGACUUUAUCAGCUUUCUGCACUCUUUUCUUGUCUUUUUUAAUGCACUUUUCGUUUAACAAGUCAACAUCAAUUUCUUUUGUUGUAAAAGGGUCAUUGGAAGGUGGCUUUCUUUUCGGAGAAAGUGUUUAUAGCCUUUGGCCUCUGCAAUCGGAGAGAUUGAGGUCUGCAGCGUAGAUCCUUCGGGGUUAGAUACAUUUGUGCUAAGUUAUAGCCUUUCAUAGACAACUUGUUGACUAUGAUCAGUCAUGUAGCUUACUCGCUUAUGCUAUUUUACCUACGCUUAGGAUGUUGAAGUCAUCGUAUCGCGC
This 773-nucleotide ribosomal RNA is filed under the name uncultured Neocallimastigales. RNAcentral describes it as "partial large subunit ribosomal RNA". It matches the Rfam family "Eukaryotic large subunit ribosomal RNA", at positions 24 to 645 of the family's 3401-position model. Lineage: Eukaryota; Fungi; Neocallimastigomycota; Neocallimastigomycetes; Neocallimastigales. The record is from RNAcentral.